This 388-nucleotide ribosomal RNA is filed under the name Developayella sp. Its description in RNAcentral is "partial small subunit ribosomal RNA". It matches the Rfam family "Eukaryotic small subunit ribosomal RNA", at positions 587 to 975 of the family's 1831-position model. The record is from RNAcentral. Lineage: Eukaryota; Developea; Developayellales; Developayellaceae.
AGCUCCAAUAGCGUAUAUUAAAGUUGUUGCAGUUAAAAAGCUCGUAGUUGGAUUUCUGGCAAGAACGACCGGUCCUCCCCGAAAGGGGUGUGUACCUCGAGUUGUAUCUGGCCAUCCUUGUGGAGAACGUCCCUGGCAUUAGUUUGUCGUGGUCGGGAUCUGCAUCAUUUACUGUGAAAAAAUUAGAGUGUUUAAAGCAGGCGUUUGCUUGAAUACAUUAGCAUGGAAUAAUAAGAUAGGACUUUGGUACUAUUUUGUUGGUUUGCAUACCAAGGUAAUGAUUAAUAGGGAUAGUUGGGGGUAUUCAUAUUUAAUUGUCAGAGGUGAAAUUCUUGGAUUUAUGAAAGAUGAACUUCUGCGAAAGCAUUUACCAAGGAUGUUUUCAUUA